AAAGUUAUUUCAAGUCAGCUACUCAUACUUCUAUUAUACAUUGUUAUAUGGCUAUGACCAAAAUUAGCCAAGUUCCUUAUAUUUAAGAUUAUAGAUUUUCUGAAGCCUGUUUUUUUCUUGUUCCUUGUGUUUGCAGAAUUGGUAUAUACUCUCCAGAUGAAGUAAUUCUUUUGGGAACCAAAAAGCAAACACCAAAAGAAAAUUUUACCUUUGAAGGAAAGAGCCCUCCUAAUCAUCAGGGAUACAUGUAGCGAUACCAUUGCUAUCAUGCUCCUGUGAAACAGCAACAUCUUAUUUUUACUCUUUCAAUGUCUUUAUUUAGAAAAGAUGUCCCAUUGUGACAUGGAAUGAGCUAACAUCAGAAAUUCCUGUAUUUUUCAAGUAAAGGUAAAAAUGUCUAUCUUGAAACUUUAGCAACAUUUAAACAGUAACUUGAAACUGUUUCAAUCACUUAGUACACAGAUCAACCAUAUCUUACAACUCUGACUGAAGAAAAAAAGAACAAAAAUUUCACCAGCUUAAAUACUUUUCUACUUGUAUGAUCUGGUUUGAACCAAAAUAUAGAAGAAAUGCCUGCGCCUCUAAAAAGGAUGGAAGUGGACAGCAGGAGGGCAAAGUGGAACCAGAGAGACCAGUUAGGAGGCUAUCUCAAUAAUCCAGGACUUGAUUCAGUUCUGGCCAAUGAGAUGUAAGCCGAUGUUGGAUAAAAGUUGUUACAGAAUGGGAAAGAGCCUGAAAAGUGAGCAGACAUUUGGGAUUAGUUCCUUUGUCCCCCCCCCCCCUUUUUUUUCUGUCUUUAGGAAGUUGAAUAUACUAUGAUGGUUGGGGCUUCUGCAGUAAUUUUUGACCACUAAAUGCCCUUGAAGAUGGACUGUGACUGCUAGGAUCAUGGAACGAAAAACAGUAAGAGCCCUGGGCUUCCUAUCUCAACACUUAUUUUAUGUGAAAGAAAAAUAAGUUUAUUUUUUAUUUAAGUCACAGUGAAUUUACGUUUUCUGUCUAUGCUAGUAUCUGCCGUGUGAUAUAUACAGCCACUAUUGGUUGAGCCCUAUUACAUUUCAGGCAUAGUGCUAAGAAAUUUAUAUUAUUAGCUCGAUUAAUAAUCACAGCAAUCCUAUGGCAUAGGUGCUAUGAUUUCCACCAAUUUAAAGAGGAGAAAAAUGAAACUUGGAAGAUGUACAUAAAUUGCCCCAAAUCACACAGUUGGCAUAUAACAGAGAUGAGUGUCAAAUUUGUUUGCUUGGGUAUUACCUGCUACAGCAUGCUGUCGGGUGGGGAUAAAACUUAACUGAAGUUCUGAGAGUCUUAUUUGAAGCUACUAUGUUUCUCUAAGUUUAACAACUUUAUCAUUGACCAAGUGUACUUCUCAGGCUUGUCUUCACUCACAUACUGUUUUGGCAAAUCCCAAUCCUAUCCAAGACCUCAUUCCACUACAGUUAUGCUACAGUCCAGUAAGACUUUUAAAUCUUGUCAAAAUCUGUUUCAUAUAGUUCUCUCUGCUAACAAUUCCUAGGUAGAGGGAGAGCUAUUCUCUCAGAGGUUAGGUCUUUGUUCAGACUCGAAAGGAGGUAGCAGCUGGCCUAAAAUUAUGACUGGCAUCUGGUCUCAGACUCAUUAUGGUUGACCUGAUGCUUUCUCAGAUUCUCUGAAAUGUUUUUCCUCUGAGAGCAAAGCUUCCAGGAACCUAAAACACCUGUAUUAACUGGUGACCUAAAAGGAGCACUUACCUGCUAACUUCCUGGCUAAUUUUCAAGUAGCGAAGACAGCUGUGUGCAUUAGCUUAUGUAGAUGUUUUUGUUUCAGAAUAAAUAUAAAUUACAGAGAUAAAAGACUGUAAAAUCAUUUUAUUCAUGAGUGGAUUACGAGAGGGUAGGCAUGAAUGGAAAGGGUUAAUUAGUCUAUUCAAAAUUACGUGGAUAUUUACCAUUUAUUGAAUGCCUAUUAGGUGCCAGAUGACACAUGAUGUACUUUACUUCUCUCAUUUGAGACAAUCCUUGUACCAGCCCCUAUGAGGCAGAGCACAAUUUGUAAAUAUGAUGAUGUUCAUGACAUUGAUUGAAUUGCCAAAGGUCACACGGUGGGCAUUUAUGUACAGAUCUGUCUCCAAAGUGCAGGCUCUUUCAUUUUUAUAAUUCCAUGCCAAAGUAUUCAGUGCUUUGGAAUAUUUUGAACAGAAAUCUGUUUUAUAGAACUUCAGGAAUAUUAAAGACUAAAGUGCCGCUUGUAAACAACUCUGGAUCACUGACUGGUUUUUUUUGAUGUGUCCAGAUACCACAUCCUUCUCUUUCUUGCUGCUACCCUUUGACUAUUUCAUAUAUGGUAGAAGAAAGAAUACAGUUAAUUAAUUUUUUUAUUAUUAAUUGCUUUGGCAAAAGUUUUGAUGUGGAAGGAAAUGGAAAUUACUGAUUAAAAUGAACUUUGUUUGUUAUCUUUCAAUUUCAUUUAAUGGUACAUUACCG
Molecule: non-coding RNA, 2459 nt
Organism: Chlorocebus sabaeus (green monkey)
Lineage: Eukaryota; Metazoa; Chordata; Mammalia; Primates; Cercopithecidae
Source: RefSeq, a predicted model, not a curated record